CCCAAUGACAUCCCACGAAGACAUCCGAAUGGGAUUAAAGAUUUAUCGGUGAUGGAUGGGGAUGCGUCUGAUUAGCUUGUUGGCGGGGUAACGGCCCACCAAGGCUACGAUCAGUAGGGGUUCUGAGAGAGGAAAANGGGNUUUCCCCCCCACAUUGGAACUGAGACACGGUCCAAACUCCUACGGGAGGCAGCAGUGAGGAAUAUUGGUCAAUGGGCGAGAGCCUGAACCAGCCAAGUAGCGUGCAGGGUGACGGCCCUAUGGGUUGUAAACUGCUUUUAUAAGGGAAUAAAGUGGGUCACGUGUGACUUUUUGCAUGUACCUUAUGAAUAAGGACCGGCUAAUUCCGUGCCAGCAGCCGCGGUAAUACGGAAGGUCCGGGCGUUAUCCGGAUUUAUUGGGUUUAAAGGGAGCGUAGGCCGGAGAUUAAGCGUGUUGUGAAAUGUAGAGGCUCAACCUCUGCACUGCAGCGCGAACUGGUCUUCUUGAGUACGCACAACGUGGGCGGAAUUCGUGGUGUAGCGGUGAAAUGCUUAGAUAUCACGAA
RNAcentral lists this ribosomal RNA (547 nucleotides) under uncultured Bacteroidales bacterium. RNAcentral's name for it is "bacterial SSU rRNA". It matches the Rfam family "Bacterial small subunit ribosomal RNA", at positions 169 to 703 of the family's 1533-position model. Lineage: Bacteria; Pseudomonadati; Bacteroidota; Bacteroidia; Bacteroidales. The record is from RNAcentral.